RNAcentral lists this ribosomal RNA (254 nucleotides) under uncultured bacterium. Its description in RNAcentral is "partial 16S ribosomal RNA". It matches the Rfam family "Bacterial small subunit ribosomal RNA", at positions 524 to 776 of the family's 1533-position model. The record is from RNAcentral.
UACGGGGGGAGCAAGCGUUGUUCGGAUUUACUGGGCGUAAAGGGCGCGUAGGCGGUCGUGACAAGUCACUUGUGAAAUCUCCGGGCUUAACUCGGAACGGUCAAGUGAUACUGUCGGACUAGAGUUCGGUAGGGGAGACUGGAAUUCCUGGUGUAGCGGUGAAAUGCGCAGAUAUCAGGAGGAACACCGGUGGCGAAGGCGGGUCUCUGGGCCGAUAUUGACACUGAGGCACGAAAGCGUGGGGAUCAAACAGG